AGAGUUUGAUCCUGGCUCAGGAUGAACGCUGGCGGCGUGCCUAAUACAUGCAAGUCGAACGCACUGUGGUUCAACUGAUUUGAAGAGCUUGCUCUGAUAUGACGAUGAACAUUGCAGUGAGUGGCGAACGGGUGAGUAACACGUGGGAAACCUACCUCUUAGCGGGGGAUAACAUCUGGAAACAGAUGCUAAUACCGCAUAACACUAGCAACCGCAUGGUUGCUACUUGAAAGAUGGUUCUGCUAUCACUAAGAGAUGGUCCCGCGGCGCAUUAGUUAGUUGGUGAGGUAAUGGCUCACCAAGACGAUGAUGCGUAGCCGAGUUGAGAGACUGAUCGGCCACAAUGGGACUGAGACACGGCCCAUACUCCUACGGGAGGCAGCAGUAGGGAAUCUUCCACAAUGGACGAAAGUCUGAUGGAGCAACGCCGCGUGUGUGAUGAAGGGUUUCGGCUCGUAAAACACUGUUGUAAGAGAAGAAUAGCAUCAAGAGUAACUGCUUGGUGUGUGACGGUAUCUUACCAGAAAGGAACGGCUAAAUACGUGCCAGCAGCCGCGGUAAUACGUAUGUUCCAAGCGUUAUCCGGAUUUAUUGGGCGUAAAGCGAGCGCAGACGGUUUUUUAAGUCCGAAGUGAAAGCCCACAGCUUAACUGUGGAAGUGCUUUGGAAACUGGAUGACUUGAGUGCAGUAGAGGAGGGUGGAAUUCCAUGUGUAGCGGUGAAAUGCGUAGAUAUAUGGAGGAACACCAGUGGCGACGCGGCUCUCUGGACUGUAACUGACGUUGAGGCUCGAAGUGUGGGUAGCAAACAGGAUUA
Molecule: ribosomal RNA, 816 nt
Filed under: uncultured bacterium
Lineage: Bacteria
Description: bacterial SSU rRNA
Rfam family: Bacterial small subunit ribosomal RNA
Source: RNAcentral